Molecule: small RNA, 128 nt
Filed under: Marmota monax (woodchuck)
Lineage: Eukaryota; Metazoa; Chordata; Mammalia; Rodentia; Sciuridae
Source: RNAcentral
GCUGGGAGUGGUAGGGCAUUUCUGUAAUUCCAGCAGCUUAGGAGGCUGAGGCAGGAGGAUCACGAGUUCAAACCUAGCCUCAGCAACUUAGUGAGGCACUAUGUGAAUCAGUUGAUACCUUGUCUCUA